GUAGCAGGAUUCUUGGGAACAGUGUCUUCAGUUAUGCCAAGAAGAAUGGCAUUUCUCACAAGGAAGUGUGCCGCUGACUUAGAGCUGUCUGUUGCAAGGUUAUAGAGCUCUUCAAGGGAACAGAGUGUGUCCUGCUCAUCUUUACAUCCCAAGUACUUGACCCAAGGCCUUACACAUAAAGAACACUUGUUUCAUUUGGGACUUGGGUGAUGUCGGACUUCCCUUCGCCAUGCAAUCCGUCCCGGAUAUCGAUGGGGCUGCCUUGGUGAAGAAUGGUUCACCCAUCCUUUCACCCAUCUCUCACAUCACUUUGAGACCUUAGAUGGUCUCUUGCUGGGUGCACAUUCAUUGUAUCAUCUAAAGAGUAUUUCCUAUAAAAGUUUCUGGUGAUUGGAGCUUCUGGAUUGGUGAAUACAUCAAGAUUCUGGGAGGGUGAUGUUCCAGGAGAGGGCAUGGGAGCUCCACGUUCCUCCUCCCAUACCUUGCCCUAUGCAUCUCUUCCACUGUUCCUGAGUUGUAUCCUUUAUAAUAAUAAUAGUCACAGAAUUAGAACUCCUUGUCCACUCCAGGCUGGUUGAGACCACCAACUCAUCAACUGGGCCCACAGAGAUGUCCAAUAAGCGACCUUUUGAUGUCAAGACGCUAAAAACUCCACCCUCAGAUCAUGCUAAUAACACCGUCAUUUUGUAAACAUGGGUCCUAUGAAGAGGCAUGAAGUCUGACUACACUUGCGCAGAUCAUCAAUUACCUCAUCUCUCCUCACCUCCAAUCACCUCUCUCCACAUUUCAGACCACCUUGCCCCCCCCAUCCCAUAAAUAUCCCUGAGCCCCUAUUUUCAGGGAAGUGAAUUUGAGGCUCAUGCUCUCGCUUCCUCACAUGGCUGCCUUGUGAGUAAACCCUCU
RNAcentral lists this long non-coding RNA (903 nucleotides) under Equus asinus (donkey). RNAcentral's name for it is "lncRNA (ENSEASG00005032033.1)". The record is from RNAcentral. Lineage: Eukaryota; Metazoa; Chordata; Mammalia; Perissodactyla; Equidae.